UCGAGUUUUGAAACCGAAGGCUUGUGCUGGUGCGGAAACGCAUAUGUGCACGGCUUUCGUGCUCAAAUCCCAAACACACAUGUGAACCCACCGUAGGCCUUCGGGCCUAUGUCUUAUCAUAUAAUCCGAAUGUCUAAUAGAAUGUAAACCCAUUUCGUUGCCUUGAAAACGUAACGAAAGAAAACUAUA
Molecule: unclassified non-coding RNA, 189 nt
Filed under: uncultured Tylospora
Lineage: Eukaryota; Fungi; Basidiomycota; Agaricomycetes; Atheliales; Atheliaceae
Description: sequence contains ITS1
Source: RNAcentral